Long non-coding RNA from Micropterus dolomieu (smallmouth bass), 335 nucleotides. RefSeq lists it as uncharacterized. Lineage: Eukaryota; Metazoa; Chordata; Actinopteri; Centrarchiformes; Centrarchidae. The record is from RefSeq and is a predicted model, not a curated record. The transcript has 3 exons.
AGUCAACAUCAGUCAGUUACAGAGCAGUUACGAGACACUGAGGAAAAAUCACAGCCAGUUACAGGAUGAAGUAAAGCAGCUGAAGGACAAACUUGAUGGGAAGUGUUGUCCUGAAGGAUGGAAGAGAUUUGGAUGCAGCUGUUACUUUAAAUCCAACGAGAAGAAAACUUGGUCUGACAGCAGAAGUGACUGUCAAAGUAGAGGAGCACAUCUGGUGAUCAUAAACAACGAAGAGGAACAGAAAUGUGUCACUGAGCUGAACAAGGAUGGAGACUCCUGGAUUGGUCUACAGGCCACACGAAAACAGACAAAAACAGGAUGGGAAUGGAAAUGGG